GUAUUAUUUCACACUCCUGAAGCUGCACGCUCAGUUAAAAGGGAUGAUCUUCCCAGUAGAGCUUACCAUUCUUCAGUCAAGGGUGUACAGGUAGCCGUGCUCCCCUGCCAGAACAAAGUCCCAAGGUCCAAAAAUAUUACUUCAUUUAAUCAUACUGGAAGGAGAUGGAUAUACAUACACCUAAAUAUUCUCUGUACACAUGCAUGUAUCCUUAUCUAU
This 219-nucleotide small nuclear RNA is filed under the name Monodelphis domestica (gray short-tailed opossum). RNAcentral describes it as "7SK RNA". It matches the Rfam family "7SK RNA". Rfam says of the family: 7SK was discovered as an abundant small nuclear RNA in the mid-70s but a possible function has only recently been suggested. Lineage: Eukaryota; Metazoa; Chordata; Mammalia; Didelphimorphia; Didelphidae. The record is from Rfam by way of RNAcentral.